GACGAACGCUGGCGGCGUGCCUAACACAUGCAAGUCGAACGGAGAUGUUGAUUUUCGGUUGACGUCUUAGUGGCGAACGGGUGAGUAACGCGUGAACAAUCUGACCUUAAGAGGGGGAUAACAACGAGAAAUCGUUGCUAAUACCGCAUAAGACCACAAUGCCGCAUGGCGAAGGGGUCAAAGGAGCAAUCCGCUUAAGGAGGGGUUCGCGUCCCAUUAGGUAGUAGGUGAGGUAACGGCCCACCUAGCCGACGAUGGGUAGCCGAGCUGAGAGGCUGAUCGGCCACACUGGAACUGAGACACGGUCCAGACUCCUACGGGAGGCAGCAGUGGGAAUAUUGGGCAAUGGGCGCAAGCCUGACCCAGCAACGCCACGUGAGGGAAGAAGGUUUUCGGAUUGUAAACCUCUGUCGCAGAUGACGAAACAAAUGACGGUAAUCUGUGAGGAAGCCCCGGCUAACUACGUGCCAGCAGCCGCGGUAAU
RNAcentral lists this ribosomal RNA (484 nucleotides) under uncultured bacterium. Its description in RNAcentral is "bacterial SSU rRNA". It matches the Rfam family "Bacterial small subunit ribosomal RNA", at positions 28 to 524 of the family's 1533-position model. The record is from RNAcentral.